CCCCGCGACCCGACCCCGGAUUAAGCAGAAAAUGAUGGAUGGAUGGAUGGAUGUUCUGCAUGUGACGCCCUUCCUCCGUACAUGUAGAUGGUUUGGGGUGACUGGUCUUCAUUUUGGCUACCGCUGGAGGGCAUGCCUUGGGGACGUCCUGCCAGUGGUAUGAUGCCAGCGGUGGAUCACAGAGGAAGAGCUACAGAGGAAGUGAAGAACAACAAAGACAUCUGGAGUGACAUCCUGAGGUCUGGAGAACCUGGAGGUAAUGUGCUGAGAUCUAAUGAACCUGGAGGUCUCGUGCUGAGAUCUUGAGGACCUGGAGGUGACAUCCUGAUAUCUGGAGAACCUGGAGUGACAUCCUGAUGUGUGGAGAACCUGGAGGUGAUGUGCUGAGAUCUAUAGAACCUGGGGGUCUCAUGCUGAGAUCCUGAGAACCUGGAGUGACAUCCUGAUAUCUGGAGAACCUGUAGGUAAUGUGCUGAGAUCUAGAGAACCUGGAG
Long non-coding RNA from Brienomyrus brachyistius, 494 nucleotides. RefSeq lists it as uncharacterized. The transcript has 3 exons. NCBI's taxonomy places the organism in Eukaryota, Metazoa, Chordata, Actinopteri, Osteoglossiformes, Mormyridae. The record is from RefSeq and is a predicted model, not a curated record.